This 486-nucleotide ribosomal RNA is filed under the name uncultured bacterium. Its description in RNAcentral is "partial 16S ribosomal RNA". It matches the Rfam family "Bacterial small subunit ribosomal RNA", at positions 28 to 507 of the family's 1533-position model. The record is from RNAcentral.
GACGAACGCUGGCGGCGUGCUUAACACAUGCAAGUCGAACGCUGAAGACCUGGCUUUUGUUGGGUUGGAUGAGUGGCGAACGGGUGAGUAACACGUGAGUAACCUGCCCUCUUCUUUGGGAUAACGCCCGGAAACGGGUGCUAAUACUGGAUAUUCACUGAUCUUCGCAUGGGGGUUGGUGGAAAGGUUUGUUCUGGUGGGGGAUGGGCUCGCGGCCUAUCAGCUUGUUGGUGGGGUGAUGGCCUACCAAGGCUUUGACGGGUAGCCGGCCUGGGAGGGUGACCGGUCACAUUGGGACUGAGAUACGGCUCAGACUCCUACGGGAGGCAGCAGUGGGGAAUAUUGCACAAUGGGCGAAAGCCUGAUGCAGCGACGACGCGUGAGGGAUGGAGGCCUUCGGGUUGUAAACCUCUUUCGCUCAUGGUCAAGCCGCAACUGUGGGUUGUGGUGAGGGUAGUGGGUAAAGAAGCGCCGGCUAACUACGUG